This 1022-nucleotide long non-coding RNA is filed under the name Oryza sativa aromatic subgroup. RNAcentral's name for it is "lncRNA OsARC_04g0005530". The record is from RNAcentral. Lineage: Eukaryota; Viridiplantae; Streptophyta; Magnoliopsida; Poales; Poaceae.
ACGCACGGGAUGAACUCAUGAAAGAGUGAGUAACCCGAGAAGCUGUCAGUGAGAGAGAGAAGCCGUCGAUGGGGGAGGAGGCGGCGAAGCGGCAGCAGCAUCCGCGAUGAUGUCGGCGUCCGUUCCGCCGGGCGGAGCCCCUGGUCACGGCGGAGCCCGCGGCCAAGGAUUUGCGCCGUGUUUUUGGUACUCAGGUCGCGAUUGGGGGGUUGACGAGUUGUCCCGAUACAGCAUGGCAGUGGUGAACCGACAACAAGCCACUGAUGAUGGAGGGGGAGUGGAAGAGGAGAUAAGAAAGGAAAUAAUGCUCGGAAGCCUACUAGAGGGUGCGCGAUUGGGCAAACAAGCCUCUAGACAUAGGGGCGUGUGUUUGGGCGAAAUGCUUGCAGCUUGCGGGGCAGCAGGAGGUGAUUUUAGAGUUUGCUUCAAAAAAUAAAAGUAAGUGAUCAUAAUCUAUUUGCUUGGUCAUGUAGAUAGAAUCUUAUAAAACUGGUUGAUACCCCGCGCGUUGCUGCGGGCAUAGAAGUACAAUUAUCAAUGUGCAACAUUAGUGCAAACAAUCUAAAUAAAUUUGCUUAUAAUUUGCUGAGAAUCUCUUAAUGAUAGUUCUGAUCCCACUGAUGUAUGAUAGUAUAUGAAAUCUUCAUCUGCUGGCCGAAAUUUCAAAAUAGAGAAACAAUAGUAUACAGUAAAGAUCUGAUUGCUUGUGAACGUUUAGAAUGAAAGAAACAAAAGCCUAAAAAAUUAUAUAUUUAUUAGGCAUCAUUACUAUAAUUCAUAAAAUUGUAUGCUUCCAGAUCAUGGAUUGCUGCAUACCUUAGCAAAAAUAAACCUUCACCUAAUGUGGAUGGUUCAAAAUCUAAAAGAUGACCCAAUUUUAUAUAUGAGCAUUGAGGGAAGCAUCAAGCAUACAUAGGAGUUUGGGCACUUGACAUCCGGAUCACUUAUAGUAUUUGUUAAGAGAUUACCAACAAAAUAAUUCCAUUUAAUCAAUUGAAAUGUGAAUGGGAUCAUGGCACCUG